RNAcentral lists this ribosomal RNA (330 nucleotides) under uncultured eukaryote. Its description in RNAcentral is "partial 18S ribosomal RNA". It matches the Rfam family "Eukaryotic small subunit ribosomal RNA", at positions 1470 to 1796 of the family's 1831-position model. The record is from RNAcentral.
CCCUUAGAUGUCCUGGGCCGCACGCGCGUUACACUGAUGCAUUCAACGAGCUUAUAACCUUGGCCGAGAGGCCUGGGCAAUCUUGUUAACGUGCAUCGUGAUUGGGAUAGAUGAUUGCAAUUCUUCAUCUUCAACGAGGAAUGCCUAGUAAACGCAAGUCAUCAGCUUGCAUUGAUUACGUCCCUGCCCUUUGUACACACCGCCCGUCGCUCCUACCGAUUGAAUGAUCCGAUGAAUACCAUGGAUUGAGAGUACGAAUAGGUUCGCUUAUUUCUGCUGCUCGAGAAGUGGAGUAAAUCUUAUCAUUUAGAGGAAGGAGAAGUCGUAACA